RNAcentral lists this ribosomal RNA (491 nucleotides) under uncultured bacterium. RNAcentral's name for it is "partial 16S ribosomal RNA". It matches the Rfam family "Bacterial small subunit ribosomal RNA", at positions 29 to 506 of the family's 1533-position model. The record is from RNAcentral.
AGUGAACGCUGGCGGUAGGCCUAACACAUGCAAGUCGAACGGCAGCACAGUAAGAGCUUGCUCUUACGGGUGGCGAGUGGCGGACGGGUGAGGAAUACAUCGGAAUCUACUUUUUCGUGGGGGAUAACGUAGGGAAACUUACGCUAAUACCGCAUACGACCUACGGGUGAAAGCAGGGGAUCUUCGGACCUUGCGCGAUUGAAUGAGCCGAUGUCGGAUUAGCUAGUUGGCGGGGUAAAGGCCCACCAAGGCGACGAUCCGUAGCUGGUCUGAGAGGAUGAUCAGCCACACUGGAAGUGAGACACGGUCCAGACUCCUACGGGAGGCAGCAGUGGGGAAUAUUGGACAAUGGGCGCAAGCCUGAUCCAGCCAUACCGCGUGGGUGAAGAAGGCCUUCGGGUUGUAAAGCCCUUUUGUUGGGAAAGAAAAGCAGCAGGUUAAUACCCCGCUGUUCUGACGGUACCCAAAGAAUAAGCACCGGCUAAUUUCGU